RNAcentral lists this ribosomal RNA (463 nucleotides) under soil bacterium 13V-10. RNAcentral describes it as "bacterial SSU rRNA". It matches the Rfam family "Bacterial small subunit ribosomal RNA", at positions 23 to 484 of the family's 1533-position model. The record is from RNAcentral.
CUCAGAUUGAACGCUGGCGGCAUGCUUUACACAUGCAAGUCGAACGGCAGCGCGGGGCAACCUGGCGGCGAGUGGCGAACGGGUGAGUAAUACAUCGGAACGUACCCAGAAGUGGGGGAUAACGUAGCGAAAGUUACGCUAAUACCGCAUACGUUCUACGGAAGAAAGUGGGGGACCUUCGGGCCUCAUGCUUUUGGAGCGGCCGAUGUCUGAUUAGCUAGUUGGUGAGGUAAAGGCUCACCAAGGCGACGAUCAGUAGCUGGUCUGAGAGGACGACCAGCCACACUGGGACUGAGACACGGCCCAGACUCCUACGGGAGGCAGCAGUGGGGAAUUUUGGACAAUGGGCGCAAGCCUGAUCCAGCAAUGCCGCGUGAGUGAAGAAGGCCUUCGGGUUGUAAAGCUCUUUUGUCAGGGAAGAAACGGCUGAGGAUAAUACCUUCGGCUAAUGACGGUACCGAAG